ACUCAAGGUAAUUAUAAUGACAUUUUUGACGUCAUAAAGUCUAACACACUCUUAAGGAUACAUGUGUGACCAGUGGGAGAUUGUAAGAUUUAUGGGUCACAUAUGUAAUUAAUUAAUAAAGUGUGUUAGGGUCAUUAUAUAAUUAGCCAAUAAACUAGGGGUCAAAUAAUAUAUAAUAGUUUAUGGCUAAAGAGCGUAAUAGUUAUGAAAAUUAAUAGUGUAGAUACCAAGCAGUUUCUAAUUUAAUGAGGGGCUGAAUUGGAAAUACUGCAAUUUGGGAUAUAACUAAUAAUAGUUAUAUAUAGGGGUAAUGGUCCCCAAGGCAAACACAACAAGACUAUUCAGUUUCAAAACCCUAAAGGAGAAAACUCUCUGGUUCUCUCUAUCCCCAUCAAGAGAGCAAGGUCUUCAGGGUGUUUUGCUGAGGAAGAUCACCCAACCCAUUGGCUCUAUCAUCACCAUCCCAG
RNAcentral lists this long non-coding RNA (467 nucleotides) under Cicer arietinum (chickpea). Its description in RNAcentral is "long non-coding RNA (CARI_LNC002346)". The record is from RNAcentral. Lineage: Eukaryota; Viridiplantae; Streptophyta; Magnoliopsida; Fabales; Fabaceae.